UACGUAGGGUGCAGGCGUUAAUCGGAAUUACUGGGCGUAAAGCGUGCGCAGGCGGUUUGCUAAGAGAGAUGUGAAAUCCCCGGGCUUAACCUGGGAACUGCGUUUCUAACUGGCAGGCUUGAGUGUGGCAGAGGGGGGUGGAAUUCCGACGUGUAGCAGUGAAAUGCGUAGAGAUGUGGAGGAACACCGAUGGCGAAGGCAGCCCCCUGGGCUAACACUGACGCUCAUGCACGAAAGCGUGGGGAGCAAACAGG
Molecule: ribosomal RNA, 254 nt
Filed under: uncultured bacterium
Lineage: Bacteria
Description: partial 16S ribosomal RNA
Rfam family: Bacterial small subunit ribosomal RNA
Source: RNAcentral